Molecule: long non-coding RNA, 5347 nt
Organism: Bacillus rossius redtenbacheri
Lineage: Eukaryota; Metazoa; Arthropoda; Insecta; Phasmatodea; Bacillidae
Exons: 2
Source: RefSeq, a predicted model, not a curated record
UUUCUAGGUAUGGCACUCGUGAUUUUAUGAGUAGGUAAUUAAUUUAUUCACAUUUCUUUUUUUUAAUCUUUCAUGUUAAAUAAAUUUUAAUAUUUUUAUGCAAAGAUUGUAUUUAAUAUUUAUUUAUCUUUACAUAUUUCAUUGUUUUAAUGUUAUCUUUACAUAUUUCAUUGUUUUAAUGUUAAAGUUUUGUGUAGCUAUUUAAUUAAUAAUGUCUUAAAUGUGUUUGUUUCUAUUAUAAUCAAAUGUGUAAGGGAAACACUACUACAAUACUGGUUCUAUGAAUAUUUUGUUUUGUUUGUAUAAUUCUACUUAUUGUAAACUCUAUGAUUUCUGUCGUGUCUAACGAAAAAGACUUACCUUGCCCUUUUCAAUUUCUUUUCGGCCAUUUGGCAUGUAAUUUUUUGGUGCGGAUGUAAAAACCACCACAAAAUGUAAUAACUUAUCUGUUACCGCCGUUUUGGCGGUUCGAGUCAUGGGCCUCAUCCUGGCUUUGGUGUUCCAGGAACCUAAAUUCAUUUUUGGGAAUUAACCUCUUCAAAACAAAGGCCAGAAAUUUCAUUAUUAUCAUUAUUAUUAUAUUAAGGUUAUGUAACUGUUUUAAACUUCUACGUGAUCAUCAUGCAAGUUUCUACUAUUGAACUUGAAUCAACGAAAUAAUAUUGAUUUCUACACUUUGGAACAUUUCCGGCAAUUAAUUUUCAUUAUGAAGAAAUAAUUAUAAGAAGACUUCAAUAAUUUAAUAUUUGUUUGAUGAAUUAUUUUUUUUAAUAAUAUUUGUUGAUAAACUUAACCUGUUUUUACUUAAAUCAAAUAUAAAUACUUGGUACGUACCUAGUUGUUCACGAGCUCGUUACUUAAUAUAUAAUACUCAGUAAUAUUUUGUUAAUAUGUUAAUUGUUUUAUUGAUGUUUGUUUACAUUGUUGUUUUUUACAAAGGCCUAUAAUUACAACCAGCACCAAUCUGAUAUUUGUGUUAUUUGUUCCCAGUGGUUUAUUCCAAUAAGUUUUAAUUCCUUUUAACAUGUUAUGUUUGGUUAUAAAGGGCAAUAUAUUCUCAUGUCUCUAUAGUAAUUUAUACUAAUCCUUUCGUUAAUACAUAAUAACAUAGUACAGCAAAUGUAAACGAUCCGACAUAUCUGAAACUUUCAUGUGUUAUAGUGUCCUUGGGUAACUUCCAAUGCCACACAUUGAGGUUAUGUAGGAUGCUAUAGCAGAUGAAUACCUUUCAGUCAAAACAAUAUGUCACAAAAAUGGUAGCAGAGCUUGGGUUUGCUGUUUACUAUGUUAUUAUUUUGUUUUAUAUAUAAUUGUGAAGAAACUAAAUCAUAAUUUUAAUUUUAAGAUUUUAUAACCUUAAUUAUUUUGUUGUGUAAAAUAACUCAUAAACAUUCUCUUUUGUGUGAUAUCUCUUACCUUUUGCAAUCUUAAAGACCUAAUUCUUUUUAUGAAUUUUAAUAGUAUUUUUAAUAUUGGUAAACUAUUUUUUUUGUAAUCUCUUAGCUAAUAUUUUAAAGUACAAAACUGUAAUUGUUUUAAUGAUAGAUAAUAUUAUUUGCAUAUUCUUUAUUAACAUAAUUCUAAAUGGUAUUUCAGUUUAAAUAUUGAUGCAAGUUUUGUUUGUUCAGAGAAUUUUUUGAAUAUUAUUUCCCGUUUUCAUGAUACUUUAAUUUUUUUAAAUCUUAUUUUGCAGAUUUUCAUGUGUUGAGUGGUCUGUGGUUUACUGUUGUUACUUCAGGGAAUUUUUUUUAAUUGAGGUUGUUUUGUUUACUUUUCGUGUAUCACCAUUUGGGGCACGUUUUUCGUUACCUAACCAUGAUAGGUAUUUUUAGUUUUUGUUGCCAUCAUUUAAUAAGUUCUUUUUAUAGCAGGUUGUUUUAAUAAUCUCUUAUGUUGUUUCUUCUGCCCAUGUUUUGUUAUAGGUCAUCUUGGGUAUGUAUUUUAGAUAUUGAUUUCUUUUCAGAGACAUUUUGCCGUUUCCCUAUUAUGUUCAUUUAAUGUGUGUUCUAGUGCUUUUCAUUGCACAGUUUAAUAAUUGAGGUUAUGGUAUUGUUUUAUAAGUAUCUAAUUUGCAGUAUAUUUACUUUUGAAUCAAGUAUUUGGGUAAUAUAUUCUUUUUGUCUUAAAUUGUGUUGGAUCAUCAUUUAAAUUUUUUCUCUUGAGCCUAUUAAUUUUUUUCAUUUAAAUUUCACUAUUUUGCUUUGUUUUGUUUUAAUUAUUUUGUUUCAGUAAGAUGCAGUAAAAGGUCAGUGGUUUUCUUGUUAGAAUUUUGUCGUUUUCUCUUUUGAAUCUUUUCUUUAAGCACUAUUAAAAAGUUUUAUAGUUUUAAUGUAUUGUAUGUAUGUAAUUUUCUAUUCUGGGAGUAAGUGACUUCCAGACGAUAUUUGGGUUGUGUUUUAAUUGUGUUGUCGACUUUGGUCAACUUUUUAUUUUAGGCAGGUCCUCUGAGCCAGAGCCAGUGAGCCAGUGCCAAGUCCUGUUGAGAAGUGUUUAGGCUUCACCAGCACUUUUCAUUUUUUUUUUGCAGGCCUCAGUCUUUUUUUUUAUCAAACCAUAUAUCUGCCAUGGAAGAUCCAAUCACUCAUUUUUAAUAAUAGUUUAAAUUUAGAUUAAUAUGUUUUGUGAGUUUAUUUGUUUUUAAAUAAUAAUUAAUAUUUUUUUUUUGAGUGCUAGCUUUGAUUCAUUGCUUUUCUAUUUUGUUUGUCUUGCUAGGGUCAUCUUUUAAAAUAACAUUUUAAUAUAUCCGUUUUAUUUCUAGUCUGGUCAUCGAAAACAUAUACUUUUUUUGAAAUUUCUGUUUUAUAGGUUAUGUGUUGUUAGUUCAUGUAGGUGUUGUGUGUCUUGUACAUCUCUCCACACGAUACAGCUGUUUCACAUGUGUUCCACACAUUACACAGUGUAGUGUCAUCAACUUAAUUAUUUUUUCAAUUAUUUUGUUUUGCAAGUUUUUGGUUUUGAAUUUAGAUGUUCCUUUUGUUUUAAUUUUGUGUACUAGGUUGUUGCUGUAUGACAUCUUUCCGGUGGGGUGUCUGCUGCAUGGAGUUCGCUAGGGUGGUUGCGGCUUCGGCUCGGUGUUGCUGCGACUCACCGUUUCAGCCAUCUCUGGUGAAUUUCGUGUAGUGGAGCUCUGCUUGGUGGGAUUGUCUUAUAGUGACACAUUCUUCAUUGUAAGGUAUGGUUUCAACUUUGAUUUCUUCUCAAAAAUUUUCCUUUCAAUAAAUUUCAGGCAGUCUUUUUUUAUUAUUAUUAUUCACUUCACCUUUGCUGAAUCGUAACUUUAUUCAUUAUAUAUUUUGUGUUAGGGGUCAAGCUUGCUUUUGCAGGUGCUAAAUUAUUUUUGAGUGUCUAGGGUAUGGGACUUAGUCAUUCAUCUUUGGACGGCCAUUUUCUUAAUUUUUUUUAAUUUUCAAUUUUGUGUUGUCGUUUUGAAUAAGCAUUUUAGAAUUUUGUUUUCUUUUUUUUGUGGCUCAAAUUUCUUUCGUAUUUGAUCGGUAUUGUCAAUUAAGUUUUGUUAAACUUUGAUUAGGUAUUCUUCUAUUUUGAAACUUUUUUAAAUUUUAUCAUGAGGUGUUGUAUGAACUGCAGUGUUCAGAGCGGUAUCGUAUGAUCAGGAUCUUAGUGACCAGGAUUUAUGCAGGGGUGUAUAGUCCCCAUUUUUCUUUAUAAGCCGACGGGCAUUUUAUACGAGGUUUUGUCCUCUUUUGUUGUAGUAUGUAACUGGCUGUCCUGGGUACUUGUACCACCAUUCUGUCCUGUUUGUUCUACAAUCACACAUUAAAAAUAUUUUGUAUUUCGGUAGUCUGAUCUUCGAUUAAUUUACACUUUAGCUUUGAGAUUUUUCUCUCGCAGGUAUGUGAGCAUCCUACGUUCAGCUAAUUGAUGUUGAUGUCGAGACCAAGUGUUCUAUAAUUUUAUUGAGCGAGCAUUUAAAUAAUUUUUUUUUAAUAUGAAGGGGUGAGUAGUCCCCAUUUUGUUUUAAUUAUUGUAUGAAGAGGUGUAUAUUCCUCAUUGAGUAUGGAGUUUAUAAGGAGAAUAUUUUGUUGUUUCUCAGUAAAUAUAUAGGGGUUUUAUGCUCGUGUCUGUGCUGUUUGUUUCUUCAGCAGUAUAAUGAUUUAUUUUUGAUUUCUAUAUUUAAUAUAGUCUUUCCUUUUUAACAUCAUUAAUUCUUAUGUCUCUUUUUUUUUUUUUUUUUUUUGGGUAAAUUGAAUUGUUUUUGAUGGCAACUUUAAAAAAAAAAAAUUUUUUUUAGAUGGUAGCGUCUGUUUUGAGGGGAGGAGUGUGUGCCGUUUCUAGGUAUGGCACUCGUGAUUUUAUGAGUAGGUAAUUAAUUUAUUCACAUUUCUUUUUUUUAAUCUUUCAUGUUAAAUAAAUUUUAAUAUUUUUAUGCAAAGAUUGUAUUUAAUAUUUAUUUAUCUUUACAUAUUUCAUUGUUUUAAUGUUAUCUUUACAUAUUUCAUUGUUUUAAUGUUAAAGUUUUGUGUAGCUAUUUAAUUAAUAAUGUCUUAAAUGUGUUUGUUUCUAUUAUAAUCAAAUGUGUAAGGGAAACACUACUACAAUACUGGUUCUAUGAAUAUUUUGUUUUGUUUGUAUAAUUCUACUUAUUGUAAACUCUAUGAUUUCUGUCGUGUCUAACGAAAAAGACUUACCUUGCCCUUUUCAAUUUCUUUUCGGCCAUUUGGCAUGUAAUUUUUUGGUGCGGAUGUAAAAACCACCACAAAAUGUAAUAACUUAUCUGUUACCCGCCGUUUUGGGUGAGUAAAUGUUUCGUCUGUGGGAAAAGUGUAUCCCAUGAUAAUUAUUUGUUAUGUUUGGAGGUUAAUAUUUUUGUGGUUUCAUUCCAUAGCGGUUCGAGUCAUGGGCCUCAUCCUGGCUUUGGUGUUCCAGGAACCUAAAUUCAUUUUUGGGAAUUAACCUCUUCAAAACAAAGGCCAGAAAUUUCAUUAUUAUCAUUAUUAUUAUAUUAAGGUUAUGUAACUGUUUUAAACUUCUACGUGAUCAUCAUGCAAGUUUCUACUAUUGAACUUGAAUCAACGAAAUAAUAUUGAUUUCUACACUUUGGAACAUUUCCGGCAAUUAAUUUUCAUUAUGAAGAAAUAAUUAUAAGAAGACUUCAAUAAUUUAAUAUUUGUUUGAUGAAUUAUUUUUUUUAAUAAUAUUUGUUGAUAAACUUAACCUGUUUUUACUUAAAUCAAAUAUAAAUACUUGGUACGUACCUAGUUGUUCACGAGCUCGUUACUUAAUAUAUAAUACUCAGUAAUAUUUUGUUAAUAUGUUAAUUGUUUUAUUGAUGUUUGUUUACAUUGUUGUUUUUUACAAAGGCCUAUAAUUACAACCAGCACCAAUCUGA